GACGAACGCUGGCGGCGUGCUUAACACAUGCAAGUCGAACGAUGAACCCGGAGCUUGCUCCGGUGGAUUAGUGGCGAACGGGUGAGUAACACGUGAGUAACCUGCCCUUGACUCUGGGAUAACUGCGGGAAACUGUAGCUAAUACCGGAUACGACCCUCGGCGGCAUCGCCAGGGGGUGGAAAGAAUUUCGGUCAAGGAUGGACUCGCGGCCUAUCAGCUAGUUGGGGGGGUAACGGCUCAACAAGGCGACGACGGGUAGCCGGCCUGAGAGGGUGACCGGCCACACUGGGACUGAGACACGGCCCAGACCCCUACGGGAGGCAGCAGUGGGGAAUAUUGCACAAUGGGCGCAAGCCUGAUGCAGCAACGCCGCGUGAGGGAUGACGGCCUUCGGGUUGUAAACCUCUUUUAGUAGGGAAGAAGCGAAAGUGACGGUACCUGCAGAAAAAGCACCGGCUAACUACGUGCCAGCCGCCGCAGUAA
RNAcentral lists this ribosomal RNA (484 nucleotides) under uncultured bacterium. Its description in RNAcentral is "partial 16S ribosomal RNA". It matches the Rfam family "Bacterial small subunit ribosomal RNA", at positions 28 to 523 of the family's 1533-position model. The record is from RNAcentral.